Molecule: microRNA precursor, 83 nt
Organism: Pan troglodytes (chimpanzee)
Lineage: Eukaryota; Metazoa; Chordata; Mammalia; Primates; Hominidae
Rfam family: mir-548 microRNA precursor family
Source: Rfam
UAUUAGGUUGGUGCAAAAGUAAUUGCAGUUUUUGCCAUUAAAAGUAAUGGAAAAACUGCAAUUACUUUUGCACCAACCUAAAA